Molecule: unclassified non-coding RNA, 604 nt
Filed under: uncultured fungus
Lineage: Eukaryota; Fungi
Description: sequence contains ITS1, 5.8S rRNA gene and ITS2
Rfam family: 5.8S ribosomal RNA (bases 235-388)
Source: RNAcentral
CUUGGUCAUUUAGAGGAAGUAAAAGUCGUAACAAGGUCUCCGUUGGUGAACCAGCGGAGGGAUCAUUAAAGAGUUGCAAAACUCCCUAAACCAUUGUGAACAUACCUUCAACGUUGCUUCGGCGGGUUGGCUCCGGGUCUCCCGGGGCCCCCGGCCCUACUCGGGCGCCCGCCGGAGGUAUCUAACUCUUGGCAAUUGUAUGGCCUCUCUGAGUCUUUGUACUUAAUAAGUCAAAACUUUCAACAACGGAUCUCUUGGUUCUGGCAUCGAUGAAGAACGCAGCGAAAUGCGAUAAGUAAUGUGAAUUGCAGAAUUCAGUGAAUCAUCGAAUCUUUGAACGCACAUUGCGCCCGCCAGUAUUCUGGCGGGCAUGCCUGUUCGAGCGUCAUUUCAACCACCAAGCCCCCGGCUUGUGUUGGGGACCUGCGGCUGCCGCAGGCCCUGAGAACCAGUGGCGGGCUCGCUAGUCACUCCAAGCGUAGUAAUACAUCUCGCUCAGGGCGUGCUGCGGGUUCCGGCCGUUAAAAAGCCUUAUUUACCCAAAGGUUGACCUCGGAUCAGGUAGGAAGACCCGCUGAACUUAAGCAUAUCAAUAAGCGGAGGA